CGAGCACGCGCGUGUGGCAUAUCAAUAAGCGGAGGAAAAGAAACUAACAAGGAUUCCCUUAGUAACGGCGAGUGAAGCGGGAAGAGCUCAAAUUUGAAAUCUUCAAGGUUUUACCUUGACGAAUUGUAGUUUAAAGAAGUGUUUUCUGUUGGAGUUUUGGUAAAAGUUCUUUGGAAUAGGACAUCAUAGAGGGUGAGAAUCCCGUAUUUGACCAUUAUUUCCAGCUGUGUGAUACACUUUCAAAGAGUCGGAUUGUUUGGGAAUGCAGUCCAAAAUGGGUGGUAAAUUUCAUCUAAAGCUAAAUAUUGGCGAGAGACCGAUAGCGAACAAGUACCGUGAGGGAAAGAUGAAAAGAACUUUGAAAAGAGAGUUAAACAGUACGUGAAAUUGUCAAAAAGGGAAGCGUUUGACACCAGUGUUGUUUUUCCGAAAAUCAAUUACGAAUGUUUUGUUUUUGAGGAGUUAUGACUUCAUCGGCUUGCUCCUUUCUUUAUGAAACUUUCUUAAUGCACUUUUCGGUUAACAAGUCAACAUCAAUUUCUUUUGUUGUAAAAGGGUAUGAGGAAGGUGGCUUUCUUUUCGGAGAAAGUGUUUAUAGCCUUGUGCCUCUGCAAUCGGAGAGAUUGAGGUCUGCAGCGUAGAUCCUUCGGGGUUAGAUACAGUUUGUGCUAAGUUAUAGCUUUUCAUAGACAACUGGUUGACUAUGUUUAGUCUUGUAGCUUACUCGCUGACGCUAUUUUACCUACGCUUAGGAUGUUGAGCGCAUGUCUCUCUCU
This 776-nucleotide ribosomal RNA is filed under the name uncultured Neocallimastigales. Its description in RNAcentral is "partial large subunit ribosomal RNA". It matches the Rfam family "Eukaryotic large subunit ribosomal RNA", at positions 19 to 639 of the family's 3401-position model. The record is from RNAcentral. Lineage: Eukaryota; Fungi; Neocallimastigomycota; Neocallimastigomycetes; Neocallimastigales.